Non-coding RNA from Nicotiana sylvestris (wood tobacco), 106 nucleotides. Lineage: Eukaryota; Viridiplantae; Streptophyta; Magnoliopsida; Solanales; Solanaceae. The record is from Rfam.
UGGACAGAUUAUUAUAUUCGACUGUAUUCAACUAUAUUCACGACGUGAAACGGGGAAUUACACUGUUUUUAAACGGAAAGUGAAUCAAUUAACAUAAUAGACUCCU